This 1060-nucleotide long non-coding RNA is filed under the name Anas platyrhynchos platyrhynchos (common mallard). Its description in RNAcentral is "lncRNA (ENSAPLG00000019007.1)". Lineage: Eukaryota; Metazoa; Chordata; Aves; Anseriformes; Anatidae. The record is from RNAcentral.
CAUCCCAUUCAGAAGGAUCCUCUGGAGUGGAAGACUUCUCAAAGAGAAAAUAGCGGCUCCUCUGGGCGGGCGGUUGCGGCAUUGUGGGACGUGGGCUAUGCUCGGGGACUCCUCGAAGGCCCUGUGCUCCUGCCCUGUCCGUCACUGCCGUGCACCAACACUGAGCGUCCGAGCCAUGGCUGUGCUCUUAUAAGGUGGAGCCCUGGGGUGUCACGAAGUGACGUCACAAUGGGUGCCCACCCAGCCCAGGCACGUGCCACAGUGGCACCCAUUGUGACGUCACUUGGUGACACGCCAGGGCUCCGCCUUAUAAGAGCGCAGCCGUGGCUCGGACCCUCAGUGUCGGUGCACGGCAGCGACGGAUAUGGAAGGAGCACAGGAGCCUCAAGGAGACCCUGAGCGCAGUCCAAGUCCCACAAUGCCGCAACCACCCACCCAGACGAGCCGCCCUUUUAACCUUGCGAGCUCUCCCACUUCAGAGGCUGCUUCUGAAUGGGAUGAGGAGGGAGGCAUGCCCCCCAGGCAGCCCAGGCUGGCCUGGCAGGAGACCUGGUCUUCUAGGGGCAGCAACCAGCCAGCAGAGGACAGCUUGCUGGCAGAGGACAAAACCCCAGUCAAGGCCAUUUUGCCGGUAGAGGACAGCAGCCUGGCAGAGGCCAUUUCUCAGGAAGUGGGCAGCAGCCCGGCACAGGACAGGAGACCGGUAGAGGACAGCUUAGUGGUUGAGGACAGCGGUUCGACACAGGAUAGCAAGAAGAAGUCGCAGCUGCUGGAUUCCAGUAAUAUAUGGAAACUGCGCAGAAACUCGGCUGUGCAAUCUAUCAGGGCAUAUGUCAGACGGAAAGAAAAGGGCAACGAGGAGCAGAAGAUAGUUUUCCUCAUCGAAAUCUGCGAUCUGUGCAGAUGUGUCACCGAGAAGGGUGUGCCGAUGAACUUGCAUGGCUUCUGCAGCAAACAUAAGCUGGUGGAGCACAUCAUGGCGCUGAUGGAAAAGGAGCCCGUGGACAGCUUGCGCACAGAAUUCUGGCAGAUCGCCAUGGAGACUGUCGCCCUCCUCAGG